This is a ribosomal RNA of 528 nucleotides. It matches the Rfam family "Eukaryotic large subunit ribosomal RNA", at positions 106 to 648 of the family's 3401-position model.
AGCUCAAAUUUGCAAAUCUAGUACCUUUGGUGCUCGAGUUGUAAUUUGAAGAUAGUUUUCUGGCAUUGGCCCUUGUCUAUGUUCCUUGGAACAGGACGUCAUAGAGGGUGAGAAUCCCGUCUGAUGGGGUGUCCAAUGCUUUGUAGAUUUCUAUCGAAGAGUCGAGUGGUUUGGGAAUGCAGCUCUAAGUGGGUGGUUAAAUUCCAUCUAAAGCUAAAUACUGGCGAGAGACCGAUAGCGAACAAGUACAGUGAUGGAAAGAUGAAAAGAACUUUGAAAAGAGAGUGAAAAAGUACGUGAAAUUGUUGAAAGGGAAGGAUAUUGGAUCAGACUUGGUGUUUUGUGAUUAUCUUCCCUUCUUGGGUUGUGCACUCGCAUUUCACUGGGCCAGCAUCGGUUCGGAUGGCAAGAUAAUGGCUUGGGAACGUGGCACCUUUCGGGGUGUGUUAUAUCCCUUGUUGAUGUUGCCUAUCUGGACCGAGGACUGCGGCUUCUGCCUAGGAUGCUGGCGUAAUGAUUCAAUAUCGC